This is a long non-coding RNA of Helianthus annuus (common sunflower), 449 nucleotides long. RefSeq lists it as uncharacterized. The record is from RefSeq and is a predicted model, not a curated record. The transcript is spliced from 3 exons. Lineage: Eukaryota; Viridiplantae; Streptophyta; Magnoliopsida; Asterales; Asteraceae.
CCUAACUUACGAGUCAUGCGAGUGCUAUAAGAACCGAAGCCUUCUUCACCGUGUUGCCCACAACCUUCAGUUCAUUCAUUCUCAACACCCCUACAUCCCCUCUCACUCACCCUUUUCUGUUCAAAACACUCUCGCCGGAGACACCGCAUCGCUGCCGGAGAAGACGACCGGAAGCACCCUCCAUCGCCGGAACUUCGCCGGAGAACCCGAAGACGUCCCCAGAAGCCCGCACGCUUCUGUUUUGGAUAACAUAUCCUGUUCGUUCACUUGGAUUAUUCUCCAUCCUUGCUCGUACGUUCUUACAAGAAAGCGCAACGCAAUCAAUGUUGAUUUAUCAAGAAUUCAAGAAAACAAGCUAGGAUGGCUUUAGAAACACAUUUUAGUUAUAAACCUUGUUGAGAUUAUGUUUUGGAUAUUUGAAACUUUGUAUUGUUCCCUAGUUUUAAUAA